GUGAAAGAAAGUGUAGAAGUUGCCGUUGUGGGUCAGUCCUCCUUAACCCACUGAGCGAGGCCAGGGAUUGAACCUGCAUCCUCAUGGAUGCUAGUCAGAUUCCUUUCUGCUGAGCCAUGAAGGGAAUUCCAAAGCAGUGUCUUUUUGACAUUAGUCUUACUCAGGCCACUUCAGCCAGUCAUCUCACAAAUGAGUAUUGAUGGUUUUAUGUGGAGCUAGAUGAGAUGCUGGGUGAGGGCCUUUCCCUAUUGGUCCUAAAAUGACACCUUGGAGCACAUCUCAAUGGCCAGCAGCAUUAUCUUUGCUUGGCGAGACCAGUCCAUGGGGUAGGAAGUACCCUUUGGUGAGCAUCUGCUCUGAAGACUUUACUGAUGUUCACGGGUAGUUCUAAGUCCAAGAGCAAAUGACAACAUGAGAGGAUCUCAGCUCUUCUAGGAUAGUUUCCUCUCACUGAGCUACCUUUGCCCCUGGGAUUGGAAGAGUCAAUCAAACUUGUGACUUGGGUCAUCUGGAAGGGAAGUAUUGAGUGGGGUUACACACUAUAAAGAUAUUUCCACUUCCCAGUAGAAUAUACUCCAAGGUUAUAGACACAUUUAACACAAGGGCAAAAAAAAAAAAAAAAGUCAAGACUUCAGUUUAAUUCUUCUUUAUUUCUGCUCUUUGAACACUAAAAUUGUGUUUUCUUCACUUAGAAUUUUUCAGUGAAGGUUAGGGGCUUAUCAGAACUUCCUUUCCAUUCUGGCACUGGUUUAAUUUUGUAGGGUUAUUUUAAUGGAGUUGUUUCCCAAUUAAGCAAAAAUUUUCAGGAACAUCUCUGUGUUUAAGGUAGCUUAAUAUACCUAUAAAAAGCCAAGAGCUAUUCAAACCGGCUGGUUAUGAGUUCCUCAUGAGAUGGGUAAUGGUGAGUUCAAUACUGACAUUGGCAGUUUCUUUAAAAAUGGAGAAAUGUACCAUGGGGAGUUCCCACUUUGGUACAGUAGGUUAAAAAUCCGACUGCAGCAGCUUGGGUUUCUGCAGAUGUGCGAGUUCAAUCCCUGGCCCAGUGCAGUAGGUUAAAGGAUCUGGCAUUCCUGCAGCUGUGGCUUGGAUUCAGUCCCUGACCUGAAAACUUCCAUGUGCCAUGAGCACUGCCAUUAAAAAAAAAAAAAGAUGGAAAACAAAUGCAUCAUGGAAUUUCUCAAAGUCCUAGAAGCAUAAAAGAAAAGAAUAUUCAAGUUUUCCCACAUGAGCACGGUGGUAGGAAUGGAGGUGAGGCGUUGUCACUUGUAAACCAAAGGAUAUAAGCCAAGUGAGAAAUCACUUGGGGUGCAGCUGAGAUCAGUAUCAUAUGGUGAAACUCACUGGGAUAUUUUAUUUCUUGUUUGGGGACAGAUGGACAAGAAGAUUUUCUCCAGCAAAGCUAAGCCUCUCCAUGUUCCCUAAAAGCUUAGAGGUAUUAUCUUCAACUCACCCCAAGCCAGGAAAUAGAACAACACACAUUUUUUGGUGUCCAAGGGGCCAGUGCUUGCAUUUGUCCAGUGAGGGAAUUGGCCCUUCUACACAACUUGUGAACUGAUACUCCUGCAGCAUGUUUGGUCCUUCCAGAGUCUUCUUUCUGAAGCCUUUUUGGACAACUACAGAUGUGGUUCUUUAAAAGCUGCCUGCAAGACAAGGUCCACUGAUGGGUGCUAAAAUUAGCAGGUGAACAUUUGUGGAGAAACAGGCUAUAUGUCUAAAGGUAUUUAUAAAUUACAAAAGGAAAAACAGUAACUUAUUGUGUGGCCAACAUAACAGUCACACCAGAAGCAGGUGAUCAGUGUUACUGUCGCUAAUAAUCAGGCAUAUCAACACCAUUUACCCUCUGAUACGAUGUCCUGAGAAGGGUCUGUUAUCAUCUCUCUGCUUUACCUUAAUUAUGAGAAAACAUCAGACAAACCCAAACGGAGGGACCGUCUGUAAGUUAAAUGGCUAGCACUCUUCAGAAGUGUCAGGGUCAGAAGAGACAAGGUAAAACUGAGGAAGUGUCACACAUUGUCGGUGCCUAAGGAGGGGUAGAUUCUGCAAUGGGAAAAGCAUAUUAGUGGAAAGACUGGUGAAAUCUGAAUAAAUUCUAUAGUUUAUGUAGUAGUACUGUAUCGCUCAUGUUAAUUUUCUGGUUUUGAUGAUUGUACCACAGUUACGGAAGAUGCCAGCACCAGGGAAAGCUGGGUGGAGGGUAUACACGUGUGAAUUCUCUGUACAAUUUUUGUGACUUUUCUCUAAGUCUAAACCUAUCUCUCUAAAUAAAAAGUUAAAAAAAAAGUUUCUUGGGAAAAAAAAAAAAAAACCCAAGCAGCAUCAUAUUGCCCUAUGAAGUGCCUUAGUGCCUCACUGAACCAGAUGGGGGUGCAUAAUUAUCUUCCUUCACAUUCUGUGUUUAAUUUCUACAAGUUGUAACUUGUGCAGCUUUUCAGUCUUGUGGGAAGCCUAGGAAAAUGAUAUUUCAUGUUUCAAGACUGAAAGGGUAAAAUUGAGAAGAGCCUCUCCAACUUGAUUUCACAAGCUUUAUUACUUGUGAGAAAUGUGUCUGUGAACAGGGAGAUACAAAUGAUGUAAAAGAUAUAUAUUUUUAAAGGCUGAAACAGAAGAGAGAAUUUAAGGCAGGAGGAUUGCCAAUUAUUUGAUUUUUUUCCCCUUAAAAGCUGUAUACUUCUUUGCAGUCAGAAUCCGUUUGUUUCAAAUCUUCAUUAAGCAGUGACACCAUUCAUCCAAUGGGUGCAUUGGCAUAAUGAGCUCUCAUAAAUACAGUGUUUGUGAUCUUUCUCGAAUUAUUAGAGUGAGGAAUGGGGGUAUAGUGAAAUCACACAGUACCCCAUCUACUUGGUCUAAAACAUACUUACAUAUGCCAUACCAAAUUAACAUCCUGUCAUAGUUUCUGCUUCCUCUCCACCCCCACCCCGUCUCUCUGUCUCCUCUCCUCUCCUCUCUCUCCUUUCUCUGUCUCACUUUGGUUCUCUCUCUCUUGCACCCACCCCUAAUCCCUAAUUGAGGCAGUUCAGGUCAAAUCAUGAUUGUUAAUGGAAAGAAACCAAGUCAUUUGUCACAGAGCUUAAUUUCGCCUGCACUGCCUGAUUUCCUGCUGUUAUUGUACUUACAGUAGAUGAUAAAAGCAGUUGCUACAGCCUCUUCAUAGGAAAACAAAUCCCAGCUGCAAUCUGAAUCAAAGCACCUGGGGCCGUGGAUCAGCUGGGAUCAAACAGCUGUUUUUCCAGCCUUGUUUUCUCCCCAGGUUCAUUGAGAUACACUGCGCCAUUUUGAAUAAAAGUUAGCUCCCACAUUUCCAAGUAAUGUGUUUGGUCUUAGAUGAGUGAGUAUUUGAGGUCACUCCUGAGAAAGGCCUCAGAGUCCUUUUCUCAUCAUACCACCUCAGAACUCACAGACUCCCUCUGGGUUUCUGAAACUGCAGUUCAUGGGCUUGGAACCACCUGUGUGUUAAGAUAGAGCUUGACUGUGUACACAUUGAAAAUUGGAAAGCCCAUACUGAGAGGCCAGGAGGACAGGUUCUUCUUGUGGGGAAAGGAUAAAAUACUUAACCGAGCAUUUGUAGAAAUGAUAAUUCCCCAGAAUCCCAUGAUUUGAACAAUUUGCUCCAGUUUUCGCCGUGCUAAUGGCCUGUUGACUACAGAGGUGAUGCUGGUUUUGAGACCUUUCUUACAGAUGGAUAAACAGGUAUGAUAGGCAUGUCUUUAGUCAUAAAGGAGGCUCAAAAGUAACCUGAUAGCUGCUGGUCAUGAUCAGCCUUCUGGCGAGACAUCUCCACCCCCAAAACAACCACAUGGGGCUUCCCUGGGGCCACUCUGAAAGGCACAUCACUAAGAGAGUUAUCUUCCCUUUCUGAAAUUCAACCCUGGCCAUGGCUCCAUCUAGGCUGGAGUGUAUGAAUAGGGUGUGUGUGUCCUCUCUCUCUGUGUGAGUGGGGUAAAGUGCUACCUGGCAUGAGAGAGGACAGAGCCUGAGAGGAGAGACUGAGGGAUGCCAGACAUCCCCCAGAUGAAUCAAUUGUAACUUCCAGAACCAUUGCCUUUGAAGACUCGUUCUAGGUUAGAGGUUUCCAAGUCUAGCUGAACACCUAAGUCACCUGCAGAAGCUUUAAAAAUGCAAAUUUCAGGGCUCCAUCCUAGCCUUAGUGGAUCAGAACUUUUAGGGGAAGGGCCAAGGAAAAAGUCUUUCCCAAAAGCCCAGCAGGUGGCUCAGACCAAGGUCUGGGUCUGGAAAUCACUGCUCCUGACCACUAUUAACCAAUCAUUAUCCCCUGUCUUGAUGGGAUACUGUGACUAAGUAAUAAGAAAAAUACCUUAGGGAGUUCCAUGGUGACUUAGUGGUUAAGGAUCUGGCAUUGCUAUUGCUGUGGCUCAGUUUGAUCCCUGGCCUGGGAAUUUGUGUAUGCUGUGGGCACAGCCAAAAAAAAAAAAA
Molecule: long non-coding RNA, 4431 nt
Filed under: Sus scrofa (pig)
Lineage: Eukaryota; Metazoa; Chordata; Mammalia; Artiodactyla; Suidae
Description: lncRNA (ENSSSCG00015051852.1)
Source: RNAcentral